UACGGAGGAUGCAAGCGUUAUCCGGAAUGAUUGGGCGUAAAGCGUCCGCAGGUGGCUGUGUAAGUCUGCUGUUAAAUAGUGAGGCUCAACCUCAUAAAGGCAGUGGAAACUACACGGCUAGAGUGCGUUCGGGGCAGAGGGAAUUCCUGGUGUAGCGGUGAAAUGCGUAGAGAUCAGGAAGAACACCGGUGGCGAAAGCGCUCUGCUAGGCCGCAACUGACACUGAGGGACGAAAGCUAGGGGAGCGGAUGGG
Molecule: ribosomal RNA, 253 nt
Filed under: uncultured bacterium
Lineage: Bacteria
Description: partial 16S ribosomal RNA
Rfam family: Bacterial small subunit ribosomal RNA
Source: RNAcentral